CCUACGGGAGGCAGCUGUGAGGAAUAUUGGUCAAUGGGCGCGAGCCUGAACCAGCCAAGUCGCGUGAGGGAAGACGGUCCUAUGGAUUGUAAACCUCUUUUGUCGGGGAGCAAAAGACGCCACGCGUGGCGUUCCGAGAGUACCCGAAGAAAAAGCAUCGGCUAACUCCGUGCCAGCAGCCGCGGUAAUACGGAGGAUGCGGGCGUUAUCCGGAUGUAUUGGGUUUAAGGGGUGCGCAGGCGGAAGAUCAAGUCAGCGGUAAAAUUGAGAGGCUCAACCUCUUCGAGCCGUUGAAACUGGUUUUCUUGAGUGAGCGAGAAGUAUGCGGAAUGCGUGGUGUAGCGGUGAAAUGCAUAGAUAUCACGCAGAACUCCGAUUGCGAAGGCAGCAGACCGGCGCUCAACUGACGCUCAUGCACGAAAGUGUGGGUAUCGAACAGGAUUAGAUACCCGGGUAGUC
Molecule: ribosomal RNA, 459 nt
Filed under: uncultured bacterium
Lineage: Bacteria
Description: partial 16S ribosomal RNA
Rfam family: Bacterial small subunit ribosomal RNA
Source: RNAcentral